RNAcentral lists this transfer RNA (76 nucleotides) under bacterium. Its description in RNAcentral is "tRNA-His". It matches the Rfam family "tRNA". Rfam says of the family: Transfer RNA (tRNA) molecules are approximately 80 nucleotides in length. Their secondary structure includes four short double-helical elements and three loops (D, anti-codon, and T loops). Further hydrogen bonds mediate the characteristic L-shaped molecular structure. tRNAs have two regions of fundamental functional importance: the anti-codon, which is responsible for specific mRNA codon recognition, and the 3' end, to which the tRNAs corresponding amino acid is attached (by aminoacyl-tRNA synthetases). tRNAs cope with the degeneracy of the genetic code in two manners: having more than one tRNA (with a specific anti-codon) for a particular amino acid; and 'wobble' base-pairing, i.e. permitting non-standard base-pairing at the 3rd anti-codon position. The record is from RNAcentral.
GUGAGUGUAGCUCAGCUGGUAGAGCUCCGGAUUGUGGUUCCGGCGGCCGCGGGUUCAAGUCCCGUCACUCACCCCA